GAAAAAAUAGUUUUUCUAAUGAGCAAAAUGAUACCAGUAUCAAUUGCUAAGUAGAUAUUAUUAUGGCAUUAUAAGAGACUUCCAUGAAAACCUAACUAACUUGUUUGCAGUAUCAAGUAAUCACAAGUUCAAUUUUGAAAGAAGCACUCCCAUUUUCCGAAAGAAUCCUAAGAAGUAAUCUUCAUUCAAUUUAUCAAUAGUAGUGAUAGAAAGGGCAAUUAGUUUCAGGUAAUACUAUGUAUUUGAAAUGAUGAAUGGAAACUUGCAGUGUUACAGAACAUUACUACAAAAAAGUAACAAGAUGAUCAAAUAAGAAAGUUCUAUCUCCUAAUAUACAAAAUAUUGACAAGCAGUUCUAGAUUCUAAUACUACUGCUGUCACACGCUUGCUGCUGCCAAUGGGCCCAAGACUCAGCCCAAGGGAAGCCUCAACUUUUUGCCCAUCGCCAAUACUACUGCUGUCACACGCUUGCUGCUGCCAAUGGGUAGCAGCUGUGCUCCUCCUUUCAAGCCAUAUUUUUCAUUUAUAAUGACCCAUACGGACCAACUAUCAUCCAUAUGGGACCAACCAUAAAAAAAAAAAGACUUACAUCUGCCGCAUCUUCCUUCACCUCUUCCUUCACUUCAUUGAGAUUUUCUUCGUCAGCCAUGAUUUUACUCUAAUCUGCAACAAAAAAUUAUUUUUUAAAGAGAGAACAAAAAAUACGUAUCUAUAUCUUUCCAAACAGAUAUACAAAUGGCAAUCAAACAUUGAACAAAGAAAUAAAAAAUCUAAAAGAAAAAGGAAAUUUUUGAAAUUGAUUCGGAACAUCGUGAUGAUUCGAUACUUUCACGAUAUUAACAGAUCAGUCGGAGAAUUUUACCUCGGAUAUUGAAACUCAAACUCUGCGUUUGUGGACUGGUUGUUGUCGGUGAGAAGUAGAUUGACUGCAUCCCUUUUCUAACCUAGUAGAGAUUAUAUGAGCGUAAAGUUGGGCCCGAGACUCAACCCGUAGUGUAGUAAGCUUGGGCCAGUCCACUACCAAUUUGAAAGUCAAACUCCAUUUUAUUAUUUGACCAAAUUGGAGGCAGGUUUAUAUAAAUUUGGGAUGGAUUUUAAACUAGAUUACUUUUUUACAGAUUGCAGGCAGCUAUUUGUCAAGAAGCUGGUAUGCACGUAGUAAGAAUCGUUAUGUAGUUCUUCCAAAGGACUUUACUUUGACAAGGUGUAUAUAUACAACAAACGUAAAGAAACCAGACACUGACUUUGAUUUUUAUCUGCGACUUAUUUGUUUUAUUGUUCCUCUGCAAUCACAAUUAUGGCAAGGAAAUCAUGUCUCUCUAUCGACUUACUUACUGGUUAGUAAUAUUGAAUAUUGGGCUUCUGGUUGGUAACAAUAACAUCAUCUGAAUAUCUAAACACCUACUGCCUGAAAUUGCAUAACUAGUCAAGAAAAUAAUAAUAAUAAUAAUAAUAAUAAUAAUAAUAAAGAUUAGAGUUCAUUUGUCAGUAGAAGUCAUUCACUAAUCAGACCAAGGUUUCUAAAUCAAUUUAUCUAUUGGUAUCACCACCCUUUUUUGCUGCAUUCUGCUGCUGCCCAUAGGUAGCAGCCCUUGACCCCCUUCUUUCUAUUUUGCAACCUUUGAAACUUAAGUUCAGUUAUACCCAAUUUUAACAUAUUAUAUAUAGCAUAUGGAAGUAUUUCAAGCUUAUAAAAUCCCACCAUUUCAGUCUUAAAAUGCUGCCAAAACAGAAUCUCCAAAUGAAUUGACAUACUAAGUCUAUCUUUUCAUUGUUAAUUAAAAAUUGAGCUUUGUUCUAGCUUGACACACUCAAACCCUCUAAUUAGCAUCACAUAUGAUUAAUAAAUCAAGCCCAAGCUCUAAUUCUACCAAAGUUUUGAUUUUAGAUAAAAAUAGUUCAUUGGAGCAUUCUAACAAACAGCUUACAUUCACAGUUUUAAAACACUCUUUUCAUAGCUAUUGGUUUGUUUUAAAAACCCAGUUUAGCUCCCUUAUUGCUCCACACAAACCAGCCUAUUCUCCUUUGUUCUAUUCCAGUCUGUUGGAAGAAUGCAUAUCUUGAUUUGAUGUUUAAAGCAAAUACUCAUGAUUAUAUGUAAAGCCCUUCAAGGAAUAUAUGUACAAGGGCUUAGUCAUAGAUCAAAUUUGUUUGGUUGAUCUUAGCUUUUAAUGUUCAUCAUUCUGUAAUCGAAUGUAUAGAUUAAGAGAUCAAAGAUGUUAGGUUGAUCUAUGACUUGUAACGAAUAGAUAGGCUUUCAACAAGAAUCGUAGCCUAUCAAGCUGUCUAACAGAUUACAGAAGCUAAGGCAGGAUCGUAAAGCUUAGCAGAUCGUAGUGUAUCUGCCUUAGAGGACCUCUUCAGGAAUCGUAGAGUAAUCCAGACAUUUACCGAAGCUAACUCAGAGAUCAUAGUGUGCUUUCAGAAACGUAGAGUCUACAAGAUGAACAAGUAAAGAUCGUAGUGUGCAAAGAUCAUAGUGUGCAAUUUCUUGAAAGGAAUCGCAGUGUUCAGACCAAGCACAAAUAUGACAAGACACCACCAUAUGGAUCGUAGAGUAUCAUCGCUCUUGUGUCAGAAGCAUCGAGCUCUAUCUUCUGUUUGGAGAUAAAUUCCAACAAAUAAGAAAUGGGUUUCAAACGUUAAAGCACUCACCAUUCCCAACGGUACAAAAGAUAUCCUUAGUAUUCAUCAAAAGGAACGUGUUCAAGAAGAUAAGAAAAGGACCAUUGGGUAGAGGAAAACACCUUUUCAGGUGUUAGAUGAGAAAGCAGUCUACCAUGUCAGUGGGCCAGAAUGAAAUUCAGAAGAUGUACAGAAAUGUCUCCAUCAAAGCUCAGAAAUGUCAAACGCAUUUAAUGCUUCAUCAGAUGACUUCAACGGAUAGAUUUAAAAGGUCACAUAUAUACAGAAUACAGACAUAUGAGAGAUAGUAGCAAGUAUUGAACAAAACGCACAAAAACACUUAACGCUCAACUCUACGAUCUGAGAAAAAGGGGAAGCUUGCUCAGCUACUCAGUUCUUUCGAACAAGUGCUUAACUGCAACUGAGUAGCCUCAAUCACAACUCAAUAACUAUCAAUCAACUGAAGUAAAAGUUCCAAGUUAAAAGGACUUGAAGAGUUCUAAGUGAACUGUGAAGAGCCAAGUCUGCUGGACUUGAAGAGUUCAAGAGUGAACUUAGAAGUGCCUAGACUGACCGGUCUAGAAGGAAUCUGUGAGAUUCAGAAAGUGUAAAAGACAUCCUUAGUGGAUUUCCUACUAGAGGAGUAGAAGAGUGGACUAGGAGCUUUAAGUGCUCCGAACCACUUAAAAACAACUGUUUCUAUUUAUAACUGCUAUAACUGCCUUACUCUCAUUAACUCAAGAUAUCUAAAAGAAUGUGUAUCAUAUACUCACUCCGAUGUGCAUUAAUCAAUCAUUCUAACUGGUUCAAAAGAAAAGUUUUUUAAAUAUCUAUUCAACCCCCCCUUCUAGAUAACUAUUGUGCCUCCGGGAACUAACAAUUGGUAUCAAAGCAGGUUCUAUAAUACAGCCUACAAAGCUUAAGUAGAUCCAAUGGCACACUUACCAAGCAAAUCAAAGACUGGAGGAGGCAGCAAGCCACCUAUGUACAACAAAGAUAAAUUCACUAACUGGAAGGUUAGGAUGCAAGCUUACAUGGAUUCAAUUGAUGAAGAUCUAUUUGAAACUGUUCAAAAUGGGCCCUACGUUCCUACAAAGCUUGCACCAACUACAGAGGACCUAAACAAAAUACAGAUCAAGGUCAAAGGAGAAUGGACAGAGAAGGAGAAAAGAGUUGUCCAGCUUGACAAAAAGGCCAAGAACAUCCUAUUUCAAUCAUUAGAAGAUGAUCUAUUUGAAAACGUGGUCAACUACAAAACAACAAAGGAGGUUUGGGAAGCACUGCUUAUUAUGCAUGAAGGAACAGAAGAAGUCAGAGAAAACAAACAAUCUCACGUUCAAAGAGAGAACGUCACUGCCACAUACGAGAGAUUCAAUAUUCUGCUCAACUCUCUACGAGCCUAUGGAAAGAUCUAUCCAAACAAAGAUCUGAUCAUAAAGUUCAUGAGAGCUUUACUAAGCAAGUGGGAUGCCAAAACCACUGUUAUUAGAGAAUCAAAGAAUCUACAUGAAAUGACUGUUCAACAAUUAUAUGGCAACCUCCUCACGUACGAACUGGAGCUAACACAACGAGCAGAAACGUUGUCUGAAGGAAGAAAGAAGGAUAAAGGUGUUGCUCUCAAAGUAACCGAAAACAUCUCCAAAGUCAACACUGAAAUUGAUUUUGACUACGAUGAAGAUGAUGAUGAGGACUUUGCAAUGCUGGUUAAAAGACUAAGAAGAUUCAUGCGACAAGGCAAAACCAGCAAGCCAAAGAAAGUUAGCAACUACAACAGCCAGGAGCAAAUGAAUGACCUAUGCUACAACUGCAAGAAACCUGGUCACUUCAUUGCCAACUGCAACAAACCUCUCAGAGAAGAACUCAAGAAGAAAUCACAUGCAAAGAAGGAAUACAAAGGCAACAAAAGGCCAGUAAAGAAAGACAAAGGCCUUGUAGCCGGAGGAUCGUGGAGUGACUCUGAUAAUGACUCAACUCUAGAAUCUGGAGAUGACGAAGAUCCUCAAAUGGUUAAUCUCUACCUGAUGGCCAAAGAUGCAAGGGACAAACAGAACUCCAACAUACAUGAAGUAAGUAUCGAUGAGGUAUUUGACUUCAAUUCUCCUGAUGUAGAUAUUGAUGACCUUAGAACUGCAUUACAUGGCAUAACAUCUGAUCUGCACCAAUACAUGAAGUGGUUUAAAGUUUUGUCUAAAGACUAUUCACUUCUUCAAAAGGAGAAAGAAAAGGUUCAAGAGGAACUAGAAACAGCCCUUCUCAGUACUGAUUCUCUCUCCAAGUUUGAAGCUGAGAAUAAGCUCUUGAGACAGGAAAAUGAGCUCAGUACUCAAAGAGAGUCUAGUCUAACCUCUAAGAUUGCGGAUCUAGAAAAGACAGUCUCUACAUGGAAUAAAUCCUCUUCAUUCAUGGACUCCUUAAUCUCUAACCAGAGAAGUGUCUCUGAUAGAACAGGGUUAGGCUUUGGGGAAUCUCCCUCAGAGUCAUGUGUGGAAAAAGCAAAGGAAACUAGCACUGGUAAUGUCUCAGGUUUCAAUAGAGGCAUUAUAUUUGUGAAAUCCUCACAGAAGGAUAAGCCUGUCAAGCCCUGCCCAGCUGAUUCAAUUCAUAUUCCCAAGAGUAAGGGAUCUCAUGCUGGUCUAGGUUUUAGAAAAGAGAAGAGUAAUCUAGCUACUACUCAUCAACCUCGAAGGAUCGUAGAAUCCAAUAAAACCAACUCUACGAACUAGCCAGGAAGAUACAGUAGAAGUAAGAUACACUCCUCACAAAUAAUGAAACAAAAGAACGCAUGGAAAAGGGAAUAUCAGCCUAGCAAGAGGAUGACCAAUAACCCACAAAAGUCUAAAUGGGGGAAGAACUUUCACACACACACACUAGCAUACAUCAUAUCAAAUGUUUGUGUGCUACAGAGUUGGCCACAAGGCUGCAAAGUGUCAGUAUAAUUCCAUACAUGUGAGACCCAAAAUCAAGCAGAUUUGGGUCCCCAAGGGUACUAACAUAGUAGGACCCAUGCAAGUAUGGGUACCAAAAUGAAGGUUUAAUGUUACCUCAGGAAAAGAGCUCCACGAACACAACUUGGUAUCUGGAUAGUGGAUGUUCAAGACACAUGACUGGGAACAAAGCCCUUCUGUCCAACUACAUAGAGAAGGAGGGUCCCUCGGUCAUCUUUGGAGAUAAUGGCUCUGGCAAGACAAGAGGCUAUGGCUUAACUGGAAAUGGUGUGGUAUCCUUUAGCAAGGUGGCCUAUGUGGAAGGACUACAACACAAUCUUCUAAGCAUUAGCCAACUCUGCGACAAGGGCCAUCAAGUAACAUUUCUCAACAAUCAAUGUCAUGUUCGAGACCUGAAGACAUCUGCAGUGAAGCUAACCGGAAUAAGAGAAGGAAAUGUCUACACAGUAAAUCUUGGAACACUGAGCUCAGAAGAGACAAUAUGCUUUCUGGCUAAGGCUUCUGAAGAAAUGAGCUGGUUAUGGCAUCGAAGACUGUCUCAUCUCAACUUCAAAAGCAUGUCCAAAUUAGCUUCAAAAGAUCUAGCUACAAGCUUACCCAAGUUUAACUUCGUUAAAGAAAGGUCGUGCAAUGCCUGCCAACUUGGAAAACAGACCAGAAGCACAUUCAAGAGCAAAUCUGUCAACUCAAUUGACAAGCCGUUGCAGCUGCUACACAUGGAUCUAUUUGGGCCAAUUCUAACAACGAGCCUUGGAGGAAAGAGAUACUCUCUGGUCGUAGUUGAUGACUUCACCAGAUUUACAUGGGUGUUCUUUCUAACCUCGAAAGAUGAGACAAGUUCCCAGCUGAUCAAAAUGUUCAAGCUUGUGAUGAACGAGAAAGGAGAGAAAAUCAAGGCUAUAAGGAGUGAUCAUGGUAGAGAAUUCGACUUCUCAGAAAUGGACCAAUUCUGCACAGACAAUGGCAUUAGUCACAACUUCUCAGCUCCACGAACUCCUCAACAAAAUGGAGUUGCUGAUAGAAAGAACAGGACAUUAAUAGAGGCUGGAAGGACUCUACUAGCAGCAGCUCAUCAGCCUGAGUACUUCUGGGCAGAAGCGGUCAACACUGCAUGUUAUACUCAGAACAGAUCACUCAUACACUCUACGAUUAAGAAGACUCCCUAUGAACUGUGGAAAGGAAUAAAACCUAGUGUCAGCUACUUUCAUAUCUUCAGUUGUGCAUGUUACAUUCUCAACAAUGGAAAGCAAUACUUGACAAAGUUUCAACUGAAAUCAGAUGAAGGAAUCUUUCUUGGAUAUGCCACAGACAGUAAAGCUUACAGAGUGUUUAACAAAAAGACACUGAGCGUUGAAGUCUCGAUUCACAUCAUCUUUGAUGAAACAGACCUAGACAAAACAAUGCCUUAAGACACUAUGACUAACAGUUCAGACACUACGAACGAGGUCAUCGAGCCCAAUACUGCGAUCGUAAUGCCUGACAAUGAAAUCGUUGAUCAAGGGAAUGAGAUCGUAGAGAGGCCUAUGCCAGACAAUGAACAUCCACAUCAAGAAGAAGAAAUAGAUCUUGAAGAUCUGAGAUAAGAAGGCAGAAGAACUGAUGUCCCAACAGGAAGCAGAUGGGCAAGAGAUCACACUCAAGAUCUAAUCAUUGGAGAUCCGAAUGCAAGAGUCAAAACAAGAGUUUCUACUCAAAAUGAAUGCUUCUAUCUAAGCUUCCUAUCUCAAAUAGAACCAAAGAAGAUAGAGGAUGCUAUGAAAGACUCCAGCUGGAUAGAGGCCAUACAAGAAGAACUUAAUCAGUUCGAAAGAAGUAAAGUAUGGAGAUUGGUUCCAAGACCAAAAAAUCAUCCUGUUAUUGGAACCAAGUGGGUUUUCAGAAACAAGAUGGAUGAAGAUGGAGUCAUCACCAGGAAUAAGGCAAGACUAGUGGCCAAGGGCUACUCUCAGGAAGAAGGCAUUGACUACGAUGAGACAUUUGCACCUGUUGCUAGACUGGAAGCCAUCAAAAUAUUUCUUGCCUUUGCUGCUCACAUGAAAUUCAAGGUCUUUCAGAUGGAUGUCAAGAGUGCAUUUUUGAAUGGAGAACUCCAAGAAGAAGUCUAUGUAGAACAGCCUCCAGGUUUCAUCAAUCCAUCUCUUUCUAAUUAUGUCUUUAGACUAGACAAAGCCUUAUAUGGUCUUAAACAAGCACCUAGAGUAUGGUAUGAAACAUUAACUAACUUUCUUAUUGAAAAUGGAUUCACUAGAGGUAGAGUAGAUACCAUACUAUUUCUUAGAAAACAUAAAGAUAAGUCCUAUUAGUUCAAAUUUAUGUUGAUGAUAUUAUCUUUGGGUCUACUAAUGAAAAGCUAUGCAAGAGAUUCUCCAAGCUUAUGCAGAGAAAGUUUGAAAUGAGCAUGAUGGGUGAGCUGAACUUCUUCCUUGGACUACAAGUAAAGCAGACUGAUGAAGAAAUCUUCAUUAACCAAGCCAAGUACAUUAAAGACCUACUUAAGACGUAUGGCAUAGAGUCAGCCUCUCCCAUGAAAACCCCAAUUUCUCAUGCAACCAAGCUUGACAAAGAUGAAAAAGGUAAAAGUAUUGAUAUAACUCAAUACAGAGGUAUGAUAGGUUCUCUUUUAUAUCUAACUGCCAGUAGACUAGAUAUAAUGUUUGCAACAUGCAUUUGAGCUAGAUUUCAGGCUAGUCCAAAAGAAUCCCAUUUAACUGUUGUAAAGAGGAUUUUCAGGUAUCUCAAAGGUACACCCCACUUGGGGCUUUGGUAUCCCAAGGAGUCCUCAUUUGAGCUAUCAGGAUACACAGAUGCUGAUUUUGCAGGCUGCAAAAUUGAUAGAAAAAGUACUAGUGGCACCUAUCAAUUGCUAGGAAACAGACUCGUGUCCUGGUUUAGCAAGAAACAAAAUUCAGUAUCUACUUCAACUGCAGAAGCUGAAUACAUUGCUGCUGGCAGUUGCUAUGCUCAGAUCUUAUGGAUGAAAAAUCAACUAGCAGAUUAUAGGUUUGAAUUCAAAUCCAUACCUAUUCACUGUGAUAACACAAGUACAAUUGCUAUAACUCACAAUCCUGUCAUACAUUCUAGGACUAAGCAUAUAGAAAUAAGGUAUCACUUCAUUAGGGAUCAUGUGCAAAAUGGAACUAUAUCUUUACAAUAUAUCCCUACUGAGAAUCAACUUCCUGAUGUCUUUACAAAGCCUCUAGAUGAAUCCAGAUUUAAAAUGUUAAUAAGUGAGCUAGGCAUGCUUAACUUAUAACCAUGAAAAAUAUGCUCUAGUAUGUGCUAACCAUACAGGUUUAAAGGCUAUGUUUGAAAUCAUAAGCAUGAUCAAAUGAAAUCCACUAUCGUAGAACCAAAGUGUCACAAAAUGACAACGAUGGCAGUAAAGACUUAACGAUCAUGGUGCAGAUUCAACGAUAGCAGAGCUACAUCAACAAACCAAAGGAGCACCCUAUGAUGAUCAAACAUAAAUCAAAGCAAUCUUUCUGAUAAGUACCUCAGGGACAAACCUAACCCUUGAUUCAAUCAAUGAGGUUAGCCCUUCCUGAGCUACCUUAAACUAAGAAGAAUGCUAAGUCAAAAAGUUCAUCACGAGGACUAGUUUAGACUCAAUGAUCGCAGUUCAAACUCUACGUUUACAGGUCAGACACGACGACUGCUACACAGACUCAAUAAUGGUAGAACAGACGAUUCCAAGGACCAUCUCAACGAUCGUAGUCCUACACUAAGAAUAUAUCAACCCAAAAAAAGUCAAGGGUAAUUUAAUACAAUCCCUCUCUGUCAAAUUCGUAGAGCCAAGCAAAAUUCGAUACUUGUCCCACUAAGCAAAAUGGAGAGAGGGAAGUUACUUGUACCAUUUGAAGGCGCCCUUUUGAAACCAGAAGUUCAAAAGCUUAUCCCUCUCCUUAUGUCUAUAAGAAGAAACCCUAAGCUAUCUAGAAAGCUCAGUAAACCACACUUCCUGCAAGAAAAUUAAUGGCGGCUUCUAGUGUUAUCUCCGGCUACAGACUCUGUUUUGACGAGUUUAAAUCAGCUGAACCUCAAUUUCACAAGACGUUGUCGCUACUGAAGAAGGCAGGUCUCGAAGAAGCCUUGGGUACAGACACAUUUAUUUACCCAAAGCUGGUAAAAGAAUUCUACAAUAAUGGGGUAUUUGAAAACAACACCAUCACUGCGAAAGUCAGGAACGUCCAAAUCAGACUAAAGGCUGAGGACAUCAAUCUAGCCCUAGGUCUCAAAUCUGAAGGGUAUCCGUCCUUAGAUGGCAUAGACUUCCAUAAGGGUCUCAAGAAGAUGCAUCACAAGAAAUCACCCUCUGUCAAAGGAUACAAGAAGAAGGAGUUUCCACAGAGGUAUGAGUUUCUAGCUGAUAUUGUUGGAAAAUGUAUAUGUUGUAAGAUCUCAGGUCAUGACUCUGUGAAUGAGGUACAACUCAAACUCAUGACUUCCAUAUGUUAUAAAAUACAACUUAACUAUGGGGUUCUAUUACUUAAAUGGAUUGGGAAGUGGUUAAUCAGCUCAAAGAAAACAAAGAGCUCACAGAAGAUGCUCUACGGACGAUUUAUAAGCAUUAUCCUAAAGGCUACUCUUGGUGACCUAAUUGAGGAUGAUGAAGGAGAAGACAUCAAUCCAAAUCGAUGAAUGUCCCAACAAUUAUUUGAAAACUGGAAAAGGAAUCCAGUUGAAAAUGUGAAGAUGAUGUCUGAAUCCAGUGGUAGAACUGGUGAGAUAAAGGGAUCAGGAGUACCAGGAAAUAUAUCUGUUGUCAGAGAAACUGAGGAAGAAGAAGAAGAAGAAGAAGAAGAAGAAGAAGAAGAAGAAGAAGAAGAAGAAGAAGAAGAAGAAGAAGAAGAAGAAGAAGAAGAAGAAGAAGAAGAAGAAGAAGAAGAAGAAGAAGAAGAAGAAGAAGAAGAAGAAGAAGAAGAAGAAGAAGAAGAAGAAGAAGAAGAAGAAGAAGAAGCUUACAAAGAAGAACCCAUUGCUUUGGUCAGAAAAAGCAAGGGCAAAAGAAAACUGAUAACCAGAAGUACAGAAGAACCUCAGGGAUCCACUACCAACAAGCCUGUAGAGUCAUCAGACAUUGAGACUCUAAGGAUCCUAAGAAGAAAGGAACAGCAGGCUGAGGUAGAAGAAGAUAGAGCAACCAUAUCUCAGCUGAAGAAGAAUAAAAUCAGCCACAAGACCAAAAGGCCAUCAAUCUCAAUGAUCGUAGAGUCUCAGUCGAUCGUAGAGACCAGACCAAACAAGGAAGUAGCUGCAACAAACAUUUUGGCUGAUCAGAAGGAUAAAAUUAAAGAAAGUUCUGAGGUUGAGGCUCAGCCUAGAAAGCCAAGAAGAAAAUUGGUCAAGAAAUACAUUCUUGUCAAUGAAGAAGUGCUAAAAAGGGAAGCCAAAGAAUUAGGUGCUAAAAAGGAACCAGUAAAUGAAAGCCAAGAAGUCAUGGCUCCUGCUGAGGGGGAGAUGCCUGAAGAUCUUAUGCUAGAAGAUGCUCCAGCUGAGGGGGAGCUGCUAGAAGAUGCUCCAGCUGAGGGGGAGCUGUUGAUCGUACAAAAAAAUGAUCAAGCUAAGGGGGAGGAUCAUGACACCUCCAUGGCAGAAAAAGAGACUCCUGCAGGAAAUGAUGAAGAACCAGUACAAGAACAUCCUGAGGCCAUUGACAUAAUGGAAUCCUCCAGUGAAAAUAGAGGAGAAGAUGAUGAGGUCGAGAUCAUAGCUGUAGGCAUUAAUGGGCAUAGAAGAGCCAACUAUGAGUAACUGUUUGCAUAUCUUCCCAUGAUGCCUUUCCACCAAGCUUAAAUUCUGAACUCUUGGGAUCACAUGUUCUGGAGCUGCAAAGAGUAUCCGGCCAUCUAAGUGCUAGCUAAUGGAUUUCCAGGAAGAAUCAACUUUGCCAAAAAGUUACUUACAAACAAAUCUUCCUUACAGAAUGAAUCUGAGGUACUGUCUAUUCCAACUCUAUUUAGAGUCAAUCACUUGCCAUCAUCUUCAUUCAAUCAAUUUUAUGAAUUCCCACAAUGGUUGGAAGUAAUUCUUCAUCCAAGAAACCAAUUUCCAGUUGCAGAAUCCCAAAGUUCUAUAACUGAGGAACCAAAUAAGAUCAACUCCCUAAUGCUCUCACAUCCCAUCUCUACAAUCAUUGACUCUAGCCCCAUGGUAGAGUCUCUACCUCAAAUCGUAGAGUCACCAACCUUUAACCUCCAAACCCAACAAUGAAUAUUUCAAUCUUGAACUUGCCUUCUACUCAUUGCAAGAUCAAUUUAAGAGCACAUCACCUCCCUCACAAACUCCCCAUCUAAAUGAACUCCUAUCAGAACUAUCCACAAAGGCUGAUUUGUUAGCAAUGUCUGAGAAAGUGAUCAAGGAACUCGACGAGAGUCUUAAAGAUCAUACUACACUUAUACAGCUGAGAUUGACAUCAAUGAUCAAUGCUGCAAACAAUCUCCCAAGCUCCCUAAGCUCUGAGCUUUCUAAAACGCUCAAAGAGAUCAUCAAAGAAAUGCUUCAAAGCAUAAAAGAUAGGGACGAUAUUCACUUUCUUGCAGCUAAAAAACAUCGGGAUGCUGUCUUGAUCUUACAGAAAACUCAAGAAUCUCAGAACAAUCUAACGAUACAGAGCAUCAAAAGUCUUCAAACUGCAAUCAAAGAAUUUCAAGACUUCUCCAUGGAUCAAAUGAAGCAGACUGAAAUUGUCCUCAACAUUCUUCAACGACGUGAAACUCGUUCUGAUGCUUUGAUCCAAGAGAAUCGUGAGGACAUUGCUCAAACUCAGAGUCAACUCAACGAGCUUGUCCAAGGAGUCACUCGCCUCUCAGAAGACAUUCGAACCCUUGAUGCUGACAUAAAGGGGGAGAAUAAAUGGAAAGGAGAUCAGGGAGGCAAGGGAAAAGGCAGAAGUCAACUCCAACCUCACUCCUCAAGGAAUCCUCCUGCAAGGCAAAUCCACCAGCAGACUCCACAAUCCAGCCAUCAGACUUAACGAUCUGAUCAACAGGAAGUUUUAAUGGCUCAACCUUUAAGGAGUCUAGGGCCAACGACCAGCUCUCAUAAGGUAAUAACAACAGGCCUAAGAAUGCCAAUUGGAGAUCCUGCAUUCAUGAAUAGGCAUGAUCACAAUCCUAGACUAAGCCCAAGUGAACUGGAAGACUUAGCAGAAGGGAUAAAGCCAGCAGAAAAAGGAGAGCUGAGGAAUAUGCAAACCCUCUGAGAAGCAAAAGGCCGAAGAAAUAAAGAUAAGUUGAAUUUUAAUUCUUAUUGAUGUAGUCAAAUUUAAAUGUAACAUCUAUCCUCAUACAUCAAUAAAUUCAUGCCUCAUACAUCAAUAAAUUCAUGCUUAUUCUCUAGAAAUUUCAGCUGCUCACUGAAAUACUAAGUCAUAUUUACUUUGCUGCAACUGUAUUUAAUGCUUAUUCUCUAGAAAUUUCAGCUGCUCACAGAAAUGUCUCCAUCAAAGCUCAGAAAUGUCAAACGCAUUUAAUGCUUCAUCAGAUGACUUUAACGGAUAGAUUUAAAAGAUCACAUAUAUACAGAAUACAGACAUAUGAGAGAUAGUAGCAAGUAUUGAACAAAACGCACAAGAACACUCAACGCUCAACUCUAUGAUCUGAGAAAAAGGGGAAGCUUGCUUAGCUACUCAGUUCUUUUGAACAAGUGCUUAACUAAAACUGAGUAGCCUCAAUCACAACUCAACAACUAUCAAUCAACUGAAGUAAAAGUUUCAAGUCAGAAGGACUUGAAGAGUUCUAAGUGAACUGUGAAGAGCCAAGUUUGCUGGACUUGAAGAGUUCAAGAGUGAACUUAGAAGUGCCUAAAUUGACCGGUCUAGAAGGAAUCUGUGAGAUUCAGAAAGUGUAAAAGACAUCCUUAGUGGAUUUCGUACUCGAGGAGUAGAAGAGUGGACUAGGAGCUUUAAGUGUUCCGAACCACUUAAAAAUAACUAUUUCUAUUUAUAACUGCUAUAACUGCUAUAACUGCCUUACUCCCAUUAACUCAAGAUAUCUAAAAGAAGGUGUAUCAUAUACUCACUCCGCUGUGCAUUAAUCAAUCAUUCUAAUUGGUUCAAAAGAAAAGUUUUUUAAAUAUCUAUUCAACCCCCCCCCCCUUCUAGAUAACUAUUGUGCCUCCAGAAACUAACACCGUCCAAUAGCAGUUGGCUUCACAGUUAAACCAAACAUAUUGACUGUGAGCAAUAAUUAAAUACCUACUAACCUUUCAUUAUUUUAAAGGUUUGAUAUCAACAAACUAACAGUGAGUUUUUAAUAACCCAUGCAUGGUCAAUUGCUAUGAAAAUUAAGCUUAUCAAUUGUCUUACCAACUACAAUAAUUCAACCAUUUAACCCGCAACAACACAAUAUAAGCAUAAUAAGAUACCAUACAAUAUAAGCAUAAUAAAAGGUUAACUUCAAAUAACUUAACUCAUAUAGAAAGAGGCAAGUUAUUCCUUAGGUACAUAGAUUGAAGAGUUGGAGAAGUUGGCGAGUGCAACAAGCAAGAGGAGAAAUUCUGGUAUGGCUUAGCUAGGUGAGGAGUCAGGUGAAGAGAGAAAGAAAACAAGGAAGUUUCCGGUAUGGCUUAGCUAGGUGAGGAGUCAGAUCACCGCCGUCGUCGUCGGGUUAUAUGAAUCCGUAACCCUUCUACUCGUUAAACCGAAACACCACACCUCGAGAUCUGAUAUUCUCCUCCUCCAUUGAUGAUCCAGACCCUAAUCCAACCUCUUGUAGAACCAAUUUGUUACUAUAUAUCUCGCGAGAGAGUAAUAAAUAGAAAGAAAAGUAAAGGAAGCCCUAAUUCACUCGUUUACAUAAGGGGAGAGCUGCUUCAGUUGUUUGGAAGACUAGGAGGCGGGGAGGGUUUUUAAUUUCAAUAACCUCCAUGUUUUUCAUAUACAUAACGUUUUUUUAAAAUUAAAAAUUGUCCUUAUAAAUAGAUAACAUUUUUUAUAUGUAUCUACAACGUUUUGUUAAAAAACGUUGUUAAAAAAAAUACCACAACGUUUUUUAUAAAAACGUUGUUGUUUAAGUGUUGUCUAUUUACUGUUUUGUAGUAGUGUUUCUAAACAUUGUCAAUAAUGCUAUCUAAUAAUAUUAUUCAAUUAAUAUGAAUUAUUAAUUUGAUAAUGGGAAAUACUGUGCAAUGACAAUUAUUGAAACAAUAAUAAUAUAAAAUAUCAACGCAGCAAUUAUUGAAUCAAUAAAAUAAAAUAUUGAACAGUAAUUACUGUAACAAUUAUUGAGUAGUGUCUUCUUACGUAAGAAUCAAUAAUUCUAAAAAUACUGUGCAAUACCGUGUGCUACUAUGCAACCACGCGUAUUACUGUAUUUUAACCACCAGGUAUUCCAACAGUGUUAACGGUAACAAUUACGCCGUUAUUUUAUAAAAACUCAUACUUUGUCGUUUUCCUUCAUCCAACCGUUUUUCGUUAUGGGGCCCACAAAUGGCUGCGCCGUCGUACGAAUAUUUCCCGACAACAAGAAUAUUUCACGACCAAACGAAUAUUCCCCGACAAUAAUGAAUAUUUUAUAACCACUUGCUUAUUUUGUAAAAUUUGCACAUUUCACCCAUAACCAAAGCAUUAUAUCAAAUUAACACCUUAUUAAUUUAGAAUAAUGAAUAGAGGAAAAUUUAAUUUUAUUUAUAAUAAGUUGGUGUCUUACAUAUUGUCUAGAUGACAAUAUUCUUGUUUAAACUCUCAGCUAUGUUUUGUCGUAUUUUACACGACUGUUGUAUAAUUAAGUUGUAUUUGAAUUUAUGUACCAUGUAUCUGGAGACCCAAGAUGGGUGAUGUAUACCUCUUUUGGGGGCGUCACAACAAGUUAAGAUUUUGUGGAGGAAUCAUGCUAUUGAAGAAAUGACCUGGGAGUUGGAAUCAGAAAUGAAAGCGAGGUACCCUCACCUUUUCGAAAUACCAGGUACGUACGUCAAUUUCGAGGAUGAAAUUUCAUAAGGAGGGGAGGUUGUAAGACCCCAAAUUGUUUUUAAUAAAAUAGAAUUUCUUCUAUUUAUUAUUUUGAAAUAGUAGGGUUGAUUUGAUUAAUGUGGUUAGUUAUGGGUAAAAUGUGCAAUUAUUUCAAAUAAGCAAGUGGUUAUAAAAUAUUCAUUGUUAUCGGAGAAUAUUCGUUUGGUCGUGGAAUAUUCUUACUGUCGGGGAAUAUUCGUACGACGGCGCAGCCUUGUGUGGGACCCAUAACAGAAAGCGAUUGGAUGAAGAAAACAACAAGUUUGAGUUUUUAUAAAUAACGACGUAGUUGUUACCGUUAACACUGUUAGAAUACCCGGUGGUUAAAACACAAUAAUACGCGGUGUUGCACAGUAAAACACGAUAUUGGACCAAUUAUUGAUUCUUACGUAAGAAUGCACUACUCAAUAAUUGUUACAGUAAUUACUGUUCAAUAUUUUAUUUUAUUGAUUGAAUAAUUGAUACGUUGAUAUUUUAUAUUAUUGUUAUUUCAAUAAUUGUCAUUACACAGUAUUUCAAAUUAUCAGAUCAAUAAUUCAUAUUAUUUGAAUAAUAUUAUUAGAUAGCAUUAUUGGCAAUAUCUAAAGAAGUUCUAUCUAUGGAGAGGUUUGGUCACCUAAUUGUGCGCUAGUAAGGAGAAAUCUUUAUUAGAAAGUGUGACGCCCCCAAAAUAGGUAUACAUCACCCAUCUUGAGUCGCCAAAUACAUGGUACAAAAUUCAAAUACAACUUAAUAAUAUAGCUGUCGUGUAAAAUAUGACAAAGCGUAAACUGAGAGUUUUAAUAAGAAUAUUAUCAUCUAGACAAUAUCCACACUGAAAAGAGUCCUUAUUACAUUUAUUUUCACACUAUUUAACAGAAUAGUGAGGACUACUAAUACUAUCAUCUGGACCGUCACUUCGUUCCUCGACUAGUCCGGGCUACGUUCUCAUUUCCUGAAGAGAACAGUGAAAGAAAGGGUGAGCUCAACUAGCCCAGUAAGAAAUAUUAUCACUAAGAUAAUGCAGAAUAAAUUAUCGUUAGCCUUCAACAGUGUUAAACUGAUAAAAUAUAACAAACAUCAAGUUUAACUGCAGCGGAACAAGCAAUCCAUUAAAAGAGUCAAGUAGAGAAUAAAAUCUACUAUCUUUUAUGAUUUAAAAGGUUUUUCAUCACUUUUAUCGCUGAGACUCAGCUUAAUAAAUAAUCCACAUCAUCCUUGCACUAUGGCAAAGGAUAUUCCUUAGUAUCACAACCAUAAAUUAUCCAUGCACUACGGCCAAGGAUAUUCGUGUAUUCAUCAAUGGUUAUGAUCAUGCCAACAACUGUCCAUCAAUGCACUACGGGCCAAUGAGGACUUUUUCCACAUCAUUUGUAACAUUAUGGUCAUGAUUACGCCGAAUAAUCCCUGGUCAUAAUCAUACCAAGUCCAUCUAUGCACUACAGGCCACAAAUGACUUUCAACAUAAUAUAAACAUGAGGAUGAUGACAAUGAUAUAAGAAUUCAAUAAAAACAAGUUCAAGAAUUAAUUUAUCCAGGAACUAAUAACGUCCAAAUUGUCAACAUGAUACUUCUUUGUAAAGUAAAAUUCAAGAAUGCUCGAAGAAUAUUUCCAUGGAAAGAUACUGGAUGAAGCGCAAAUAUCAAGGAUAUUCCACUAAUUUCAUGGAGUAUUGAAGUCAAAACUUUAACCAACUAAGUAUAAUAAAGAAUGGAAUAACAAAAGAAAUCACCAUGCAUGCGAUAGACCGCACAGACAGGUUAUUCCAACAGAAUAAUAAUUAAUGGAACUAGGUCAUGCGUAAUUGCACAGACAUGAUACUCCAACAGAAUAAUAAAUAACGGAACCAGGUCAUGCGUAAAGAACAGACAAGAUGUUCCAACAGAAUAAUAAAUAACGGAACCAGGUCAUGCGUAAACCACAGAAAGGAUGUUCCAACAGAAUGAUAAAUAACGGAACCAGGUCCGGUGAAAUUCGCACCGACAGGAUGUUCCAACAGAAUAAUAAAGAAUGGAAUAACAAAAGAAUUUCACCAUGUAUGCGGUACUUCGCACAGACAUGUUAUUCCAACAUAAUAAUAAAGAAUGGAACAACAGAAGAAUUUCACCAAGUAUAAGGAAGUCUGCGUAUACAGGUUAUUCCAACGGAAUAAUAAAGAAUGGAAUAACAGAAGUUCUCUUCAUGAAUACAAAAGAAAUAAUACCCCUUACCUUCUAAAGAUGAGUACUCCGACGGGUAGGGUGGGGAUAUACUUGAAGAAAACUUGCACUACGCUCAAAGCUUUCUUAAAUUCUAAAGAAAUACGCUCAAGAUUAUAGAAGAGAAUUCUCUGAAAUUUAUGGUGUGUUUUUAAUUCUAACUAAGCAUCUUAUUUAUAGGAGAAUGAAAGGGCACUAUUUAAGAAAAAUAUCACGGACGCAACAGUUUUAUAACUCACGGAUGAUUUACCAACUUUGCAGGCAAUUGAAAUUUCAAACCAAAUCAAGUAAGAACAAAAACCAAAAACAUAAUAUAUAUAUAUAUAUAUAUNNNNNNNNNNNNNNNNNNNNNNNNNNNNNNNNNNNNNNNNNNNNNNNNNNNNNNNNNNNNNNNNNNNNNNNNNNNNNNNNNNNNNNNNNNNNNNNNNNNNAAUUAGGUGACUAAACCUCUCCUUGGAAGAACUUCUAGACAUCGUUAAUAUUGCAAAUAAUAAUAUUAAUAACUCUGUCAUCUCAAUUAUUGAUUUAAAAAUAUAUAAAAUAUUGACAAUAAUUGAAUCAAAUAACGUGAGAUACUAUGCAGCAAUUACUAUAGCAAUAAUUGAACAAAAUUGAGUGACUUCUCACGUAAGCAUUAAUAAUAAAUACCGUGUGCUACUAUGCAACCACUCGUAUUCCUGUACUUUUAACACUGAGUGUUUCAACAGUUAACGGUAAAACUUCCGCCGUUAUUUUCAUAAAAUAUUUUUGUCAUUUUCUCAAUCUGACAAUAAUUCUGUUGUGGGGUCCACCAAUGAUUUUGCCGUCGUACGAAUAUUCCCUGCUAAAACGAAUAUUCCCCGGCCAAUUAAAUAUUAUAAAUCAACUUGCGUACUUUGCAAAAUUUAUAAAUAUUACCCACAGCUAUAACAUUAUAUUAAAUUCAUUCCAUAAUAUUCAAAAAUGAUAAUUAUAGAAAAUUCAUCUUUAUUCAUAAAAGAUGGGGUCUUACAACCUCCUCUUCUUAAGAAAUUUCGCCCUCGAAAUUAGGGUACGUACCUGGUAUGUCGAAGAGGUAAGGAUACCUUGAUUUCAUUUCAAAUUCUAACUCCCAGGUCAUUUCUUCAACAUCGUGGUUUCUCCAUAAAACUUUGACUUGAGGUAUAUCCUUAGAGCGUAGAAUAUGUUCCUUCUUAUCCAAGAUUUGAACAGGAACCUCUUCAUACGUUAAAUCUUUCGCUAUUUCGUUAAGUUCUAACUCAAUAAUAUGGUUCAGGUCUUCCACAUAUUUACGUAACAUGGAUAUGUGAAAAACGUUAUGAACAAGAGACAUACUUGGCGGUAAAGCGAGUCUAUAGGCCACAGUUCCUACUCGAUCGAGGAUUAAAAAUGGGCCAAUGAAUCGAGGAUUGUGCUUUCCUCUCUUUCCAAAUCUUGUAACCCCUUUCCAUGGAGCAACACGUAACAACACAUGAUCUCCAAUAUCGAAUUCCACGUUCUUUCGAUGAAGAUCAGCAUAACUCUUUUGUCGAUCUUGUGAGGUCUUUAUACGUUGUCGGAUCGUUUGAAUCUUUUCCGUAGUCAUACGUACCAACUCCGGUCCCAACAACGUUGCUUCACCUACCUCAUCCCAGCAUAUUGGAGAACGACACUUUCUUCCAUACAACGCCUCGAAUGGAGCCAUGCCAAUACUUGCUUGAUAACUGUUGUUGUAGGAAAACUACACCAAUGGUAAGAACUUAUCCCAACUUCCCUUGAAUUCAAGAACACAAAGUCUUAAUAAAUCUUCCAGAUUUUGAAUAGUCCUCUCUAAUUGUCCGUCCGUCUGAGGAUGAUAUGCCGAACUAAAUCGUAAGUCCAUGCCCAUAACUUUUUGCAAACUAACCCAAAAUCGUGAACUGAAUCUUGGGUCUCGAUCAGAAAAUAUGGAUACUGGCAAUGCAGUCUUACAAUCUCGUUUAUGUACAUACGAGCAAGACGUUCAAGUGUAUAAGUUUCUCAUAUUGGUAAGAAAUGAGCAGACUUGGUCAAUCUAUCAACAAUGACCCAAAUUGCAUCUAUGCCUUGAGAAACCUUGGGAAGACCAGUAAUGAAAUCCAUGGUAAUGUGCUCCCACUUCCAUUCUGGAAUUUCAAGUGGUUGCAAUGGACCUUUUGGUACUUGAUGCUCUACCUUGACUCGUUGACAAGUUAAACACCUUGAGAUAAACAACGCUAUCUCUCUCUUCAUAUUGCCCCACCAAAAUGUAUGUCGAAGAUCAUGAUACAUUUUGGUACUCCCAGGAUAGAUUGCAAACGGUGUAUUGUGAGCCUCCAUCAUGAUUUUAUACUUUAAAUCAGGGUCGUUAGGAACACAAAGUCUGGAGUUAACUCAAAGUAUUCCUUCUUCAUCGAUUCUUGCUUCCGGUAUAGCACCUUCUUGUAUUGUCUUCCUUAUACGCAUCAGCUCUAGGUCUGUAGCUUGAGCAGCUUUAACUUUAUCGAUUAAAGUUGGUUCUACUCGUAUAUUCGCCAUCAUCACGUGGGUCCCUAGAGUCUUUAUCUCUAUCUCCAUCCUUUGUAAGUCACACAAAAUGGGCCUUUGCGUUGAUAAUAUCGCACUCGUACCCACAUAUGAUCUUCUACUCAAUGUGUCAGCUACCACGUUCGCUUUUCCAGUAUGGUAUUAGAUGGUAUGAUCAUAAUCUUUCAGCAGUUCAAGCUAACUUCGUUGUCGCAUGUUGAGUUCCUUUUGAGUGAAGAAAUAUUUGAGGCUUUUAAGAUCUGUAAAGAUCUCCACUUUCUCCCCAUACAAGUAAUGCCUCCAAAUUUUAAGUGCGAAGACAACAGUUGCCAACUCUAGAUCAUGAGUAGGAUAAAUAAAGAAUGGAAUAACAAAAGAAAUCACCAUGCAUGCGAUAGACCGCACAGACAUGUUAUUCCAACAGAAUAAUAAUUAAUGGAACCAGGUCAUGCGUAAACGCACAGACAGGAUAUUCUAACAGAAUAAUGAAUAACGGAAUCAGGUCAUGCGUAAAGCACAGACAUAAUGUUCCAACAGAAUAAUAAAUAACGGAACCAGGUCAUGCGUAAAGCACAAACAGGAUGUUCCAACAGAAUGAUAAAUAACGGAACCAGGUCAGGCGAAAUUCGCACCGACAGGAUAUUCCAACAGAAUAAUAAAGAAUGGAAUAACAGAAGAAUUUCACCAUGUAUAUGGUACUUCGCAUAGACAGGUUAUUCCAACAUUAUAAUAAAGAAUGGAACAACAGAAGAAUUUCACCAAGUAUAGGGAAGUCCGCGUAUACAGGUUAUUCCAACGGAAUAAUAGAGAAUGGAAUAACAGAAGUUCUCUUCAUGAAUACAAAAGAAAUAAUACCUCUUACCUUAUAAAGAAGAGUACUCCGACGGGUAGGGCGGAAAUAUACUUGAAGAAAACUUGCACUACGCUCAAAGCUUUCUUAAACUCUAAAGAAAUACGCUCAAGAUUAUAGAAGAGAAUUCUCUGAAAUUUCUGGUGUGUUUAAAAUUCUAACUAAGCAUCCUAUUUAUAGGAGUAUGAAAGAGCACUAUUUAAGAAAAAUAUCACGGACGCAACAGUUUUAUAACUCACGGAUGAUUUACCAACUUUGCAGGCAAUUGAAAUUUCAAACCAAAUCAAGUAAAAACAAAAACCAAAAACAUAAUAUAUAUAUAUAUAUAUAUUAUAUAUAUAAACACAUGUUAUUAAACAUAUAUAUAUAUAUAUAUAUAUAUAAUAUUAAUUACCUUCAUUACACGUUACAACACCCUUCUCCCAUUUCCUGACAUUCAAAUUUCAACACAUAUGGGCCCCACAUGUGGCCCCCACAUGUGGGCCCUACCUUUAUUAAAUUAAAUAACUUUUUACCGAUUAUUUUAAAAAAUGAGUAAAUGGGGGUCCAACAAAUACUUCAUAAAAAAAAUUUCUUCAAUAUUUUUUAACAACAUUUAUCAUCAUUAUUAUAAUUCACAAUAUUAAUCGAUCAGGUCAUUCCCAAGAAAGAGGGGGCUUUCCAAUAAGGAUUUCUCCCUAUUGGCGCGCAAUUAGGUGACCAAACCUCUCCUUGGCAAAACUUCUAUACAUCGUUAAUAUUGCAAAUAAUAAUAUUAAUAACUCUGUCAUCUCAAUUAUUGAUUUAAAAAUAUACAAAAUAUUGACAAUAAUUGAAUCAAAUAACGUGAGAUACUAUACAGCAAUUACUAUAGCAAUAAUUGAACAAAACUGAGUGACUUCUCACGUAAGCAUUAAUAAUCAAUAUCGUGUGCUACUAUGCAACCACGCGCAUUCCUGUACUUUUAACACUAGGUAUUUCAACAGUUAACGGUAAAACUUCCGCCGUUAUUUUCAUAAAAUAUUUUUGUUGUUUUCUCAAUCCGACAAUAAUUCCGUUGUGGGGUCCACCAAUGAUUGUGUCGUCGUACGAAUAUUCCCUGCUAAAACGAAUAUUCCCCGACCAAUCGAAUAUUAUAAAUCAACUUGCGUACUUUACAAAAUUUAUAAAUAUUACCCACAACUAUAACAUUAUAUUAAAUUCAUUCCAUAAUAUUCAAAAAUGAUAAUUAUAGAAAAUUCAUCUUUAUUCAUAAAAGCUGGGGUCUUACAGAAAGCCUCCUAUUUCUUGGGAACGACCUGGUUGUCAUUAUUGUGAUUCUGUAAUAUUAUUUGUGAAUAAUUAAUUAUUGAUUUAUAUGAUAAGAAAAAUAUUUAUUUAUGUGGAUAUAAAUGGAGGAAUUUUUAAAAAAGUUACAGUUAUUGAAAAUUGAUAUUUUAUCUUUUCUAAUAAAAUAAUUCAUUUAGAUAUAUUAUUAUAUUAUAAUAAUAUAAUAAUAGUGAUAUUUUUACAAUGAACGUAUGAUAUAUGAAUAAAUGAGGAGGAAGAGUAUUUUUGUUACAAUAAAUAUUAAAAACAUGUUAAAUAUGUUGGUGGGCCCCAUUUUUGACUGAAAUUUGAUUAUAACCUACAAAAUCGUCUGUAUGUGGAUUUCGGUCAAUUUCUGUUUAGAAUUUAGAAAAACUUAAAGCUCCAAAGUUGUAGAGAAUUGAAUUUUCUACGGAAUGGACAUAAGAUUCGAAUUUUUCUGAUAAAAGGACUAUUUAUUAUGAAUUAUUGAAGUUUCAGAAUAAUUAAUUUUUGGAGUUUUAAAUAUUUUUUUAAAGAAAAACGUUUUUGUUAUGAUUGGUGAGCCCCACAUGUGUUGUAAAUGUGCUAAAUUUUGAUUUUCAAAGUAUGCGUAUGAUUUUUAAUAAAUAAUAUUAUUUUAUUAAAAUUUUUGCUUUGGUGUUCUAAGCCUUUUCCUAUAAAUAGGGUGUUUAGGUUAGAAUUGAAAAUCACACCAGAAACUGAAGUUUUCUCUCUCUAUAUUAUCGAGCGUAUUUUUGUGAGUAUUUUGAUACUUUGAGUGUUGCUACAUGGUGCAAGUUUCCUUCAGCGUUAUAUCUGAUAUUCCAGCUAGAAGUACUAUUCUUUUGAGGUAAGGGAUGUUAUUUUCUUUGUAAAUGAUAUUAUUUCUUUCAAUAUCAUUAUACCGGAAUAUUAGUAUGAAUUUUAUUAUGAAAUUUUUACCUUUUCAUGUCGGGGUUACUAUUCAUGAGUUACUAUUCACGAGUUACUAUUUAUGAGUUACUAUUCACGAGUACUAUUCAAGAAGUAUGAUAAUUUUUCUUGUGGAAUUUCUACCUUUUAGUGUCGGGGUUACUAUUCACGUAUACGACAUUAUUCACGAAUACGGCACUAUUCACAGAAAAAAAAUUAAAAUUUUCUCUUCUUUAUCCCAGAUGUCAUUAUUGUUACUAUCUUUGAUUGUAUCCAUGUUUUAAUAUUCAUUCUUGAAUUUUACUCCACAUAGUAUAUUAUGGGGUGUUUUUGAACAUGGAUAAACCGAAGUACGAAUCCCUAAUAUUUGUUCUUUUGUCUCACUGGAUUCGUUUUCUUUAAAAUAUUUUCCAUCAUCCUCAGUCCUAAAUGAUGAUAUAACUGAAUAUCUUUGGCCUGUAGUGCAAAGAUGAAUGAUUUCCUGAUGAACAUCUUUGGCCCGUAGUGCAAAGAUGAACAGGUGUUGAGAUGAACAUGACCAACUGAUGAAUAUAUUUGUCCUGUAGUGCAAAGAUGAAUAUUUGAUUCAAGAUGUAUAUUAAUUGAUGUUACACAGAUAAAAUAUUGAUGAUGGACUUUUAAAUUCAUAGAUGAUAGUAAAUUUCAUUCUCUACUUAACUCGUUUAAUAAAUAGUUGUUUUCGUUGCAGUUGUUGAUCUAAAACUUGUUGUCUAUUUUAUUCUAUCAGAUUUUUACCUGUUGAAGACUAAGAAUAAUUUAUUGUACAUUAUCUUAGUCAUAAUAUUCUUUACUGGACUAGUUGAGUUCACCCUUUUCUUUUUUGUUCUAUUUUUCACUUUCAGACAAUUCCUCGCGCAUCAAAAAACGGAUAGUAAAGCGAAGGAGACCCACUUCCCACUUCUCCUUCCCCGCCCCAUUUCAGGGGCGGGCCUCGUUCUUAUUGACGAUCCCCGCGCACAACAAGACUACACCCCCAUACCGAGAAAGGUUAUUUCACGGUAAGGCACGGGAGGGGCUUCAACCUUCGAUUGGAAUACGGAU
This 24271-nucleotide long non-coding RNA is filed under the name Panax ginseng (ginseng). Its description in RNAcentral is "long non-coding RNA (PGIN_LNC014710)". The record is from RNAcentral. Lineage: Eukaryota; Viridiplantae; Streptophyta; Magnoliopsida; Apiales; Araliaceae.